ACUCCUACGGGAGGCAGCAGUGGGAAUAUUGGACAAUGGGGGAACCCUGAUCCAGCCAUGCCGCGUGUGUGAAGAAGGCCUUAUGGUUGUAAAGCACUUUAAGCGAGGAGGAGGCUACUAGUAUUAAUACUACUGGAUAGUGGACGUUACUCGCAGAAUAAGCACCGGCUAACUCUGUGCCAGCAGCCGCGGUAAUACAGAGGGUGCGAGCGUUAAUCGGAUUUACUGGGCGUAAAGCGUGCGUAGGCGGCCAUUUAAGUCAAAUGUGAAAUCCCCGAGCUUAACUUGGGAAUUGCAUUCGAUACUGGAUGGCUAGAGUAUGGGAGAGGAUGGUAGAAUUCCAGGUGUAGCGGUGAAAUGCGUAGAGAUCUGGAGGAAUACCGAUGGCGAAGGCAGCCAUCUGGCCUAAUACUGACGCUGAGGUACGAAAGCAUGGGAGCAAACAGGAUUAGAUACCCUGGUAGGCU
Molecule: ribosomal RNA, 467 nt
Filed under: uncultured bacterium
Lineage: Bacteria
Description: bacterial SSU rRNA
Rfam family: Bacterial small subunit ribosomal RNA
Source: RNAcentral